AAAGCAUAUUAAAAAGAAAAAAAAUAUAUUAUUUGCACUAUGUCUAAUGUAAUAUAAAAGAAGUGCAUACCUACAUUUUCAACUUAAUACACAAAUUAUGAUGUUUCUAAACUUAGCCUUUAAAAGAACAUAUGAAAGCCGUAUUUGCUUGUCAGGCCAACGGCAAUGAUGAUCCUAGAAAGCAACAUCAAAAAAUAAGUUUUAAAACAUAAAAUAUGAAGUCGAUGAACCACCCUAAACCUUAUAUGCAGGGGAUAACUGGAAAAGCUAAGAAUCGAUUUGAACUUAUGUCAAAGCAAUCAACCAUGCUUUGGCAUACACAUCUCAAGCAGAAUAAUUUAAAUGUCAAACACUAUCACAAUACCCAUGCAUAGAAAAAACAUUUCACAAUAUCCAUCUAACAAAAAUUGAAACAACAAAUUAAAAAUAAAAAGAUCUAAUAAAAAAAUUAAAAUCUAACAAAAAAAAAAAUUUAAAGUGCUGUGUGACUCUGAGAAUAAGAGAAGAAGAGAGAAGAAGGAGAAGAAUAGAAGAAUAGGAGAGGAGAGAGAGAGGAAAGA
This 560-nucleotide unclassified non-coding RNA is filed under the name Hevea brasiliensis (rubber tree). Lineage: Eukaryota; Viridiplantae; Streptophyta; Magnoliopsida; Malpighiales; Euphorbiaceae. The record is from RNAcentral.